CGCCGCGUGAACGAAGAAGGCCUUCGGGUCGUAAAGUUCUGUUGUUAGGGAAGAACAAGUACCAGAGUAACUGCUGGUACCUUGACGGUACCUAACCAGAAAGCCACGGCUAACUACGUGCCAGCAGCCGCGGUAAUACGUAGGUGGCAAGCGUUGUCCGGAAUUAUUGGGCGUAAAGCGCGCGCAGGUGGUUCCUUAAGUCUGAUGUGAAAGCCCACGGCUCAACCGUGGAGGGUCAUUGGAAACUGGGGAACUUGAGUGCAGAAGAGGAAAGUGGAAUUCCAAGUGUAGCGGUGAAAUGCGUAGAGAUUUGGAGGAACACCAGUGGCGAAGGCGACUUUCUGGUCUGUAACUGACACUGAGGCGCGAAAGCGUGGGGAGCAAACAGGAUUAGAUACCCUGGUAGUCCACGCCGUAAACGAUGAGUGCUAAGUGUUAGAGGGUUUCCGCCCUUUAGUGCUGCAGCUAACGCAUUAAGCACUCCGCCUGGGGAGUACGGCCGCAAGGCUGAAACUCAAAGAA
This 522-nucleotide ribosomal RNA is filed under the name bacterium AT06-05. RNAcentral's name for it is "bacterial SSU rRNA". It matches the Rfam family "Bacterial small subunit ribosomal RNA", at positions 395 to 908 of the family's 1533-position model. The record is from RNAcentral.